UUUUUUCUUUUCAUUUUUUUUUAAUUUUUAUUUUUAUACUAUUUAAAAAAAUUAAAAAAAGGGAAAAUUGACAUUAUUUCACUCAGGGUCGCUUGGUCAUCCCACGUCUCUCACCUCAGCACUCUCAGGUGCUCGCCUCUUUCAAGUUGACUCGCCUCUUUCAAGUUGACUCGCCUCAGUCAGGCGAGGCGCUAAGGGCUCGCCUCGCCUCACCUCGCCCAGCUCCUCGCCUAGCGCCUUUUGUCGCCUUUAACAACACUGUUUUAAUCUGAGUUUAUAUGAGUGGCUGAGUUGCUUUACACAUUAAAAUGAUUAGCCAAAUUAAUGUUGCAACUCAUUCACUUAUUUUUCUAUUUUUCCGAUGUGGGAUAUAUAAUCCUAGCACUCCGCACUCAAGUGCAAUCCCACGGUUGGUCACUUGACAAUUAGUUAAUAUUUAACCCAAUAUGGGUCUAAUUAUACAGUCUUAUGGGCGGCUACAACUCACAACUCAAAUCGGACUCUGCUACCAUGUUAAAUUAUGGAGAGAGUGCUGGACAUAUUAUGUAUUAAUUCAUUUUUAAUUUGAGUUUAUAUAAGUGAUUGAGUUGCUUU
RNAcentral lists this unclassified non-coding RNA (594 nucleotides) under Hevea brasiliensis (rubber tree). The record is from RNAcentral. Lineage: Eukaryota; Viridiplantae; Streptophyta; Magnoliopsida; Malpighiales; Euphorbiaceae.